RNAcentral lists this ribosomal RNA (785 nucleotides) under uncultured bacterium. RNAcentral describes it as "bacterial SSU rRNA". It matches the Rfam family "Bacterial small subunit ribosomal RNA", at positions 28 to 810 of the family's 1533-position model. The record is from RNAcentral.
GACGAACGCUGGCGGCGUGCCUAACACAUGCAAGUCGAACGGAACUGUUUUGAAAGAUUUCUUCGGAAUGAAUUUGAUUUAGUUUAGUGGCGGACGGGUGAGUAACGCGUGAGUAACCUGCCUUCAAGAGGGGGAUAACAUUCUGAAAAGAAUGCUAAUACCGCAUGACAUAUCGGAAUCACAUGAUUUUGAUAUCAAAGAUUUUAUCGCUUGAAGAUGGACUCGCGUCCGAUUAGUUAGUUGGUGAGGUAACGGCUCACCAAGACCGCGAUCGGUAGCCGGACUGAGAGGUUGAACGGCCACAUUGGGACUGAGACACGGCCCAGACUCCUACGGGAGGCAGCAGUGGGGGAUAUUGCGCAAUGGGGGCAACCCUGACGCAGCAACGCCGCGUGAAGGAUGAAGGUUUUCGGAUUGUAAACUUCUUUUAUUAAGGACGAAACUUGACGGUACUUAAUGAAUAAGCUCCGGCUAACUACGUGCCAGCAGCCGCGGUAAUACGUAGGGAGCAAGCGUUGUCCGGAUUUACUGGGUGUAAAGGGUGCGUAGGCGGCUUUGCAAGUCAGAUGUGAAAUCUAUGGGCUCAACCCAUAAACUGCAUUUGAAACUGUAGAGCUUGAGUGAAGUAGAGGCAGGCGGAAUUCCCCGUGUAGCGGUGAAAUGCGUAGAGAUGGGGAGGAACACCAGUGGCGAAGGCGGCCUGCUGGGCUUUAACUGACGCUGAGGCACGAAAGCGUGGGUAGCAAACAGGAUUAGAUACCCUGGUAGUCCACGCUGUAAACGAU